GAAACCAGGGUCUCCUGCAUUGCAGGUGGAUUCUUUACCAACUGAGCUCACAUACAUUAAAGACCUCUAAGUUAAAAGUGACAAAUGGCUGUCCCCAGUGAAACAGGCCAUCUUGAGGGUCUAUAACAUCCAUCACAGAAGUGACCAGAUGGGAUAUAUUUAUGAGAUAAGGAAACUACAUUCUCCUUCUCCCUAGUCCAUAUUGCAAACUCUAGAAUCAAUCACUCAAGUGUAAUCAUAUCUCUUGCUGUGUCUCAGUUGUAACAGACGAGACCUACCUACCUACAUCGGAGCGUUCUUCUAAAGAAGAAAUGAAAUAGUAACGGAAGGCUCUGAUAACAGGAAAUAGCACACAUGGGAUGCAUCAAUAUAAAUGUGAGUUGUUACUGUUGCUAUUAUUAUCAUUAUCAUCAUUAUCGGUUGUGAUAUUCUUUUUUAUACCAUAUUCACAUUUUUUUUUUCCUGUGCUUCAGCGGCAGUUUACAAAAAUGAACACUGCUCUGCUCUCCAAUGAAAGCAAUAGCAUCGAAACCUAAGACGAUGUCUGGUUUGAGACCGUUCUCAGCAAACACCCUGACCUUGCCAGCAUCUUCCUGCAAGAGGUUAAUGCACAGGAUGGCUGGGGGCCGGCUCAAAUACCGGGAGGGGUGAGGGAAGGUUGUGGAGGUUUCGGCCCAGCCAGCAUCACAGCUGUCCUCAAUUACCACAAACAGCUGUUGGCAGCUCGACUCAUUAGAAAUGCAAUCCAACCACCUUGGCAAUCGGAUUCUCUUGCUGGAAACUCAGCAGACAGGAAGAUCCUGUGCUCCCAAUUCCUGUGGUCAAGUCAGGGAAGGUUCCUCUCCCUGGGGAUGAAAAGCCUCCCCAGGCACAGGCUCCGUAUGGCGAAUCUCCAUGGGGAUCACAGCAGCGGUUCUCAACCCGGGUUUCUCUAUAGCAUGGGGAUGAUAACCCUCAGCCAUGGGGUUCACUCACAGAUAAGCCCACCCUGACAUGAAGCACAGGAAGACUGCAGCCUGCUUCUCUUCCACCCCUGGCUCCAUCGUAACCACCUUGGGACUUCAUACACCUGCAAGGGGCCACCCCAGACCAAGUCCUGUCCGCAUAUGCUCCCCCACUGCAAUCAGCCGCACCGCGUUCACCCCCUCAGAUGGUGAACACAGUGCUUAUCUCAGGAGAAGACACCAGGAAAAGAGGCCCAUGCCGGCUCUGGAAGUAGACUUAGGAAUAUCAGAGAGAGGAGGUCCAGGACCCCAGUUAUCCAGGGUGGGGACAGGCUCGGGAUGAGCAGGCACGC
Bubalus bubalis (water buffalo) is the source of this 1297-nucleotide long non-coding RNA. RefSeq lists it as uncharacterized. NCBI's taxonomy places the organism in Eukaryota, Metazoa, Chordata, Mammalia, Artiodactyla, Bovidae. The record is from RefSeq and is a predicted model, not a curated record. The transcript is spliced from 2 exons.